This 329-nucleotide unclassified non-coding RNA is filed under the name soil metagenome. Its description in RNAcentral is "partial contains 5.8S ribosomal RNA, internal transcribed spacer 2, and large subunit ribosomal RNA". The stretch from base 5 to 120 matches the Rfam family "5.8S ribosomal RNA", at positions 39 to 154 of the family's 154-position model. The record is from RNAcentral.
GACAAAGAACGUAGCGAAAUGCGAUAAGUAAUGUGAAUUGCAGAAUUCAGUGAAUCAUCGAAUCUUUGAACGCACAUUGCGCCCCCUGGUAUUCCGGGGGGCAUGCCUGUCCGAGCGUCAUUACAACCCUCAAGCUCAGCUUGGUGUUGGGCCCCGCCGCCCCGGCGGGCCCUAAAGUCAGUGGCGGUGCCGUCCGGCUCCGAGCGUAGUAAUUCUUCUCGCUCUGGAGGUCCGGUCGUGUGCUCGCCAGCAACCCCCAAUUUUUUUCAGGUUGACCUCGGAUCAGGUAGGGAUACCCGCUGAACUUAAGCAUAUCAAUAAGCGGAGGA